Molecule: non-coding RNA, 92 nt
Filed under: uncultured Ruminococcus sp.
Lineage: Bacteria; Bacillati; Bacillota; Clostridia; Eubacteriales; Oscillospiraceae
Description: SAM riboswitch (S box leader)
Rfam family: SAM riboswitch aptamer (S box leader)
About the family: The SAM riboswitch is found upstream of a number of genes which code for proteins involved in methionine or cysteine biosynthesis in Gram-positive bacteria. The SAM riboswitch acts at the level of transcription termination control.
Source: RNAcentral
CUUAUCAAGAGUGACUGAGGGGUCAGGCCCUAUGAAGUCCGGCAACCUGCUUUUGCAAGGUGCUAAUUCCUGCGGUAAUACCGAAAGAUGAG